Molecule: long non-coding RNA, 308 nt
Filed under: Bos taurus (domestic cattle)
Lineage: Eukaryota; Metazoa; Chordata; Mammalia; Artiodactyla; Bovidae
Description: long non-coding RNA NONBTAT017389
Source: RNAcentral
GAAACAUCUGCUCAGUAUUUCCCACUGGAGAGAAAGCAAAUAAUCUCUGAAAGGAACUGCCCAGUCUUCAUGAAGAACUGAGAACUACCGAAUCAAUCUAUAGUAUAGACAGUGACCAUUAAGAAAACUGAAGGAGAAAGUGAAGGACGCAAAACGAGUUCUAGUCCACUGUUACUUGUUUCCACGCACAGAUUCGUUCAUUGAUGGAGGUAUUUUAUACUCCUCCUAAAAACUAGAUUACAGAAAGUGAAUGGAGUAGAAUCAUUUCUGGUGGGUCUACACAAAGGUGGACUGUCAUCUACUUACUG